AAGUCGUAACAAGGUUUCCGUAGGUGAACCUGCGGAAGGAUCAUUAACUAAUUGAUUGAUAAUAUGGUAGUGUGAAAUUUGAGCGCAUUUGAAUAGUUAAUUCUAUGCGAUGUUAUAUACGAUGAAUGCUGUAAUAAUUAUAUUAAUAAUAAUAAUAAAUACAACUUUUAACAAUGGAUCUCUUGGCUCUU
Molecule: unclassified non-coding RNA, 191 nt
Filed under: fungal sp.
Lineage: Eukaryota; Fungi
Description: partial internal transcribed spacer region
Rfam family: Eukaryotic small subunit ribosomal RNA (bases 1-46)
Source: RNAcentral